RNAcentral lists this ribosomal RNA (528 nucleotides) under Pavlova sp. CCMP459. RNAcentral describes it as "partial Bacterial large subunit ribosomal RNA". It matches the Rfam family "Bacterial large subunit ribosomal RNA", at positions 21 to 569 of the family's 2925-position model. The record is from RNAcentral. Lineage: Eukaryota; Haptophyta; Pavlovophyceae; Pavlovales; Pavlovaceae.
AUGGUGGAUGCCUUGGGUCUGAGAGGCGAUGAAGGACGUGGUAAGCUGCGAUAAGCUAUGGAAAGCUGCACACGAGCAUUAUAUCCAUAGAUUUCCGAAUGAGACAACUCACUAUAUUGAAGAUAUAGUACUCGAAAGAGAGCCAACGCGGAGAACUGAAACAUCUAAGUACCCGCAGGAAAAGAAAAUAAUAAUGAUUCCCUGAGUAGUGGCGAGCGAAAUGGGAAGAGCCUAAACUUAUAGAGCGUGCUCUGUAAGGGUUGUAGGACUGCAUUUAGAAGCUGUUAUCAAGUUGAAUCUUCUGGAAAGUUGAACAAUACAAGGUGAUAGUCCUGUAGACACAAAUUAACAGUAACGAGCAGUAUCCUGAGUAGUGCGGGACCGGAGAAAUCCUGCAUGAAUCUGCCAGCACCAUCUGGUAAGGCUAAAUACUCCUCAGACACCGAUAGUGAACCAGUACCGUAAGGGAAAGGUGAAAAGCACCCCGAAUAGGGGAGUGAAAUAGUACCUGAAACCGUACGCCUACAA